CGGCGGACGGGUGAGUAACGCGUGGGUAACCGUGCCUCAUACAGGGGGAUAACAGUUGGAAACGACUGCUAAUACCGCAUAAGCGCACAGUACCGCAUGGUACAGUGUGAAAAACUCCGGUGGUAUGAGAUGGACCCGCGUCUGAUUAGCUAGUUGGUGGGGUAACGGCCUACCAAGGCGACGAUCAGUAGCCGACCUGAGAGGGUGACCGGCCACAUUGGGACUGAGACACGGCCCAA
RNAcentral lists this ribosomal RNA (239 nucleotides) under uncultured bacterium. RNAcentral describes it as "partial 16S ribosomal RNA". It matches the Rfam family "Bacterial small subunit ribosomal RNA", at positions 96 to 334 of the family's 1533-position model. The record is from RNAcentral.